Molecule: ribosomal RNA, 253 nt
Filed under: uncultured bacterium
Lineage: Bacteria
Description: partial 16S ribosomal RNA
Rfam family: Bacterial small subunit ribosomal RNA
Source: RNAcentral
UACGUAGGGGGCAAGCGUUAUCCGGAUUUACUGGGUGUAAAGGGAGCGUAGACGGCAGAGCAAGUCUGGAGUGAAAGCCCGCGGCCCAACUGCGGGACUGCUUUGGAAACUGCCCGGCUAGAGUGCUGGAGAGGUAAGCGGAAUUCCUAGUGUAGCGGUGAAAUGCGUAGAUAUUAGGAGGAACACCAGUGGCGAAGGCGGCUUACUGGACAGUAACUGACGUUGAGGCUCGAAAGCGUGGGGAGCAAACAGG